UGAUUUUUGGAUUUACCCUGUUUUACAUAACAUUGGACCUGCCCAGCAGGUACACAGUUGUAAGUCUGAAACAUUUAGGUUAGCAAGCUGGUGGAAAUCACAGAGAAUCUACUUGAUGUUUUAGGAAUUUUAGAGAUAUUGUUUUGUUUAAGAUGUUUAUGUAUAGUUAUGGUAAAUAAGAAUGACAAGAAGAAUCACCUUGGACAAGAAGAUAUACAACAAAAUCAGGCUAGUGGGACCAGUUCUUACUUUGAGAUGCCAGGUGAAUAAUGAUAUGCAGUAUUGAGCCUGAAAAGGUGAACACAGCCACAUGAAGUUCUCCGAGGAAAUAGAAGCAGAGCACUGAAACAGACAUCAAUAAAAGAAAAAGCAGUUUGAAUAAUCAGAAACAUUUGAUCAAAUUUAUGAUUUGAACAGUUCCUCACCGACAGACUUCCAGCAAAAUAAUUGUAUAAAUAAAAUGUUUGAUUCCAAGAAAACCAGUAAAAAACAAAAACUUGCAGCUAGAAAUGAAUAUUGUUUUUGUUAUAGUGAAUGUAAGAUGAUUGAACUGAAGGAUAUGUAUGUUGAAUUUUGUAUUUUGCUCAUUUAUAUGACUAUGAAUAUAAAUUAAUAAACAUUUUUAAAAUUAAAUUACUAAACUUUUAUUUUAUUUCAAGCUUUUUUGACAUCAAGCAACAUAUAUGCGACUUACAUGUGACUUAUAUGUUACUUAUAAGUGACUUAUAUUAGGUCACUUAUAUGUAACAUAUAAGUCACUUAUAUGUAACAUAUAAGUCACUUAUAUGUUACUUAUAAGUUGAGCAUAUCUUUUACUUACAUGUCACAUAUUUGUGACUUAUAUAUAACUUAUACUUCACUUAUAUGUCAAAAUGCCAGACAUAUACUGCACUUACAUCUAAUUUGCAUUUAAAAUACAUAUACUUGACUUAUAGGUGAAUUGACUAAGUGAAGUAUAAUCUACAUAUAAAAUAGCCUAUAAGUGACUUAUAAGUGAAUUCCGUAAGGGUAUACAG
This is a long non-coding RNA of Ruditapes philippinarum (Manila clam), 1016 nucleotides long. RefSeq lists it as uncharacterized. The record is from RefSeq and is a predicted model, not a curated record. The transcript is spliced from 3 exons. NCBI's taxonomy places the organism in Eukaryota, Metazoa, Mollusca, Bivalvia, Venerida, Veneridae.